CAUUCCUGCAGAAACCACAAUAAAGGGACGUGCCCUCAGUUGCCCUGUCUCCCUCUGCCUCAUGACUGACCGCGGUGCAUGACCUGAGUGGCCUUGUGUGGCCUGCUGCUUUCUCCCCAGUGAACUGUGAAUUACUAAUUGAGGCAUAUUUUGUGACUAUGGCAGAGGCAAAAAAGUACAAACAAAGGAGAAGGACUGAGGUGUUCUAUCUCUUUCCGGCACAAAUCAUCACUUCACAUAUCCCUUCUAGACAGCAGCUGUAUGAUAGCAUGAUACUUUUUUCUACUUGUUCUGAAGUGUGAACCGGAAAGAGCAGAAAGUGUUAGCCAGAGAAAAGACAUCCCUCUGUGAGGAUGCAUUUGGAGAAAAUGGUUGAUUCCCUUUAAGGAAUCAAGGUUAGCCUGCAGAGCUAAUAAAAGCCCCUUGGGAAAACUUGCCUGAUACCUUGUCUACACACUCUCUGUACAGGAUUGCUAAUCUGUGGCUAUCAAGCUCCAAACGCUAAUGCAAAUAAAACCACACAUGGACGUGCCUUUUAUCCAAGGACCCCCAGACCAGCCCCAGGAGGAAACCUAGCUGCUGUUCCCCUCACAACACCUUUCUCCAGUAGUAUCAUCACCCCACCUACCUAACAGAAGUUAGGGUCUCUACCCCUGAAGGGGAGAAUGAGAGAGAACAAAGAAAGAAACUGGUCAGUCAGGCAGUUUGGGUGGAUCCUUGGUUGAAUUCUUUCAAGCAAAAGAACAGCCUGAAAACUCAAGCUCCAGGCACAGAUAAGGGAACUUGCACA
This 790-nucleotide long non-coding RNA is filed under the name Homo sapiens (human). Its description in RNAcentral is "HSALNT0376753". Lineage: Eukaryota; Metazoa; Chordata; Mammalia; Primates; Hominidae. The record is from RNAcentral.